CAGUAGCCGCGGGAAUACGAAGGGUGCAAGCGUUAAUCGGAAUUACUGGGCGUAAAGCGUGCGUACGCGGUUUGUUAAGUCUGUUGUGAAAUCCCCGGGCUCAACCUGGGAAUGGCAAUGGAUACUGGCAAGCUAGAGUGUGUCAGAGGAUGGUGGAAUUCCCGGUGUAGCGGCGAAAUGCGUAGAGAUGUGGAGGAAUACCGAUGGCGAAGGCAGCCCCCUGGGCCAAUACUGACGCUCAUGCACGAAAGCGUGGGGAGCAAACAGGAUUAGAUACCCCCGUAGUCCCUGUCUCUUAUAC
This 301-nucleotide ribosomal RNA is filed under the name uncultured bacterium. RNAcentral's name for it is "partial 16S ribosomal RNA". It matches the Rfam family "Bacterial small subunit ribosomal RNA", at positions 509 to 807 of the family's 1533-position model. The record is from RNAcentral.